GACGAACGCUGGCGGCGUGGAUUAGGCAUGCAAGUCGAACGGUAUCAUCCUUUCGGGGGUGAGAGAGUGGCGAACUGGUGAGUAACACGUAGGUUAUCUACCCUCAAGACGGGGACAACCCAGGGAAACUUGGGCUAAUACCGGAUGUGAGCAACUUUUUAGUUGUUUGAAAGGUGGCGUAAGCUGUCGCUUGGGGAUGAGCCUGCGUCCUAUUAGUUAGUUGGUGAGGUAACGGCUCACCUAGGCAAUGAUAGGUAGGCGGCCUUAACGGGUGGUCGCCCACACUGGGAUUGAGAUACGGCCCAGACUCCUACGGGAGGCAGCAGUCGAGAAUAGUCUACAAUGGUCGGAAGACUGAUAGUGCGACGCCGCGUGAACGAUGAAUCCCUUCGGGGUGUAAAGUUCUUUUAUAUGUGAGCAGUGCUUCUUAUAUUAACAGUAUGGGGAGAGAGAUAUUAGCAUAUGAAUAAGCAACGGCUAACUCCGUGCCAGCAGCCCGCGGUAAACUCGU
RNAcentral lists this ribosomal RNA (511 nucleotides) under uncultured bacterium. RNAcentral describes it as "bacterial SSU rRNA". It matches the Rfam family "Bacterial small subunit ribosomal RNA", at positions 28 to 528 of the family's 1533-position model. The record is from RNAcentral.